AUGCACGCUGGCGGCGUGCUUCACCCCUGCCAGUCGAACGGUGAAGCAGAGCUUGCUCUGUGGAUCAGUGGCGAACGGGUGAGUAACACGUGAGCAACCUGCCCCUGACUCUGGGAUAAGCGCUGGAAACGGCGUCUAAUACUGGAUAUGAGCUGCGACCGCAUGGUCAGCAGUUGGAAAGAUUUUUCGGUCUGGGAUGGGCUCACGGCCUAUCAGCUUGUUGGUGAGGUAAUGGCUCACCAAGGCGUCGACGGGUAGCCGGCCUGAGAGGGUGACCGGCCACACUGGGACUGAGACACGGCCCAGACUCCUACGGGAGGCAGCAGUGGGGAAUAUUGCACAAUGGGCGAAAGCCUGAUGCAGCAACGCCGCGUGAGGGAUGACGGCCUUCGGGUUGUAAACCUCUUUUAGCAGGGAAGAAGCGAAAGUGACGGUACCUGCAGAAAAAGCGCCGGCUAACUACGUG
This 466-nucleotide ribosomal RNA is filed under the name uncultured bacterium. RNAcentral's name for it is "partial 16S ribosomal RNA". It matches the Rfam family "Bacterial small subunit ribosomal RNA", at positions 29 to 507 of the family's 1533-position model. The record is from RNAcentral.